UGACUUCAGCAGUACAUAUACCAAAAUUGGAAAGAUACAGAAAAAAUUAGCAUGAUUCCUGCAAAAGGAUGGCAGGAAAAUUCAUGAAACAUUUCAUGUCUUU
Molecule: small nuclear RNA, 103 nt
Organism: Sorex araneus (European shrew)
Lineage: Eukaryota; Metazoa; Chordata; Mammalia; Eulipotyphla; Soricidae
Source: Ensembl